AUGCCCGAGGGUGAUGAUGAGUUAGGUGGCCACUUUUGGUGAAGUGGUGCACCAGGUGUUUGCGUGAGUAAGGUUUCUGAAAUGGUAUUAGAUUUAUGAUGUGUCGACCGUCCCAACCUUACCAGUACGACCACGUUACCCCUCAUGGGACGGGGCUAUGAUGAUUACUCUGGUCGGUGCUAGCAAAGAGCCACAUUACUAGUGGCGGUAGUGAUGUGUGGUCACUCUCGUGAUGGGGUCGUGCCAGGUAGGACGACUAUGCCAUUUUUAUGAGUUCCAGGCACACCGUUGGUCGCUGCAUGGUUGUUACUGUCCAGAGUCGGUGCUUGUAACACGUACAACAUGUGGGUUGGGUACCAAUCGAGUGGACCUCUUUAUCUAAUAUCGCCAGGGGAAAGGCAUUGAUCGGGUACUUACCUCGGGUAUGUUAUAUACCGCGAGUCAUGGAUGACACGGAAGGUUCCCAGAUCUCGUGUGUCCAGCGUACUACCUCUACACAGUGUAAAACUAUUCGAAUAGUCGUGUCCGCGGUCAAGGACAGUUGGGUAAUCCUGCUUAAACUACGUCCACUCGUUUCCGCAUGGACCAAGUGUGUGCGAGUUGUGAUGAAAGGAUUUGUUAUGGAAGCAAUGAUAUGACCAAGUUCGGUGACUUGGCAUAUAGGGUGAACCCAGAUGGUUCAGUUCUCAACAGAUAUAUGGAUAUCUGUAACCUGUUCUUCAAAACUAAUUCUUUAUCUUGAUGCAUAUUCAUGAUCAUUCCACCACAAUGAAUUCCACCAAAGAUGCAUGUUAUUGUUAUCCUUCACUUUCAUUGUUCAUAUCAUGGGCUGUUUGUGAGUACAAUCAAAAGUACUCGUUGGCUUGCCACUGGUUAUUUCAUUGACAAGGUAUGAGAGAACAGGAUUUGGUGAAGAGUAACUCGGUGACGUUCUUGCAAGCUAGGACGCAUCCCAGUCAAAAUUCCUGUAGGUUAAGGCCGGUGGCAUGGGUUCACGCUUUCAACCAAUAAUUCUGCUAUUGUUUCAGUUUGGUGUGUUGGCCUUCAAGGCCCUAUACAUGUAAGACUUGACCGCAAUGGUCAUUUAUUGUAUCAAACGGUAUGUAUGGAUGUAAGACUCUUGUUAUUCAGUUUCCGUGUGUUCGGUGAGCAUUGAUCUCUGGGAUCACUGAGCACGUUCAUUCGGCGAUCUCGUCUCAUAAGUCGGGGUCCCCAAAUUACCCAGGUUCGGCCCCUCCGAUGGAGGUAAAAGCCUAUGUCCUGCUUGUGUGUAUUGAUAAUAAGGAGGAUGAUCUCGAUUACAAGGGUGUUGUAUUUCUACCUCUAGUCUCAAGAGCCUCUAUUCUGUCUAUCUCUAAUGACUUUUAACUUCUCCCUCUUGGGGUUCCUUAGCCCUCCUUAUAUAAGUGGAAGGGGUAGGUUUACAGGUAGAGUCCUACUAGGAGUAGGGCUAGGACUAGUCUCUCUUGAAUCCUAAUCCGGGUCUUGUUUCCUUUGUGAAGGAGUCCUUCCUUUCCUUGCGCCUUCUCGUUGAACUAGCCCUCCCAUGAGCCGCCUUCUAUGUCGUUGGCUCUUGUCG
RNAcentral lists this long non-coding RNA (1579 nucleotides) under Hordeum vulgare. Its description in RNAcentral is "long non-coding RNA (HVUL_LNC011987)". Lineage: Eukaryota; Viridiplantae; Streptophyta; Magnoliopsida; Poales; Poaceae. The record is from RNAcentral.